GAGGCUAGAUCCCCGAAAAUAUCUUCGCAGCAGACGAAACACGUCGAAGCGCGGGAGUAGUGUAAGUUCGAUGCGAAAGAUUCUAUAUUUCCAUGUCUACUAGAUAUCAGUAUCUUUAACUGUGAUCUUGAUUUCGGAAAAUUUUGUUUUAAUAAUGACUUUUGUAUGCUGUCAUAUGCUGUCGCCAAAGUUGGCGUUGUUUGGAAUUUUCAGCCAGAUACGAACUUUUGAAAGCAUGGGAAGAGACAUUGUGUGGAACAAUUCUACUCACUGAAUGAAUGUCUUCAAUCUAUGCGAAGAUAAUGCCUUAAUUGAAAACAGGACUUCAGGAGGACUUAACACAUUCGCUGCUGAGAGACAUUUUCAAAGACGGUUCCACCAGGCCGACAAAUUUUAAUUAAUUGUAAAAUAAAAAUACAAAACAUGCAUUAAAUUUAGAUAAUUUUUAAUUGCUUUAUUAAUUAUAGGAGUUGUAUCAUAGAUUAUUUUUGCGAUAAAAUAUUUUAUAACAGCGCUAACUACGAGUAUACUUGUAACGAGUGUAUCGUAGUUGGCGGUUCUUAUAAUAAAGAUUGAUUAUUUUUACAACAA
Molecule: long non-coding RNA, 591 nt
Organism: Stegodyphus dumicola
Lineage: Eukaryota; Metazoa; Arthropoda; Arachnida; Araneae; Eresidae
Source: RefSeq, a predicted model, not a curated record